GAUCAAUCAUGGCUUUCUUUGAAGAGAAGAGAUCAUAUAUCCUUGCAGAUGCUGGUCUUAACGGCCAAACACGAGGAGAAUUUCUGUUGUGAGGAAGAGCCACUGUCUGACUGAGUAGUUUUGAGAAGUUUGAAAUUGAUUGGUUUUUAUGGAGAAACCCAAACCGUGUCCAGGAAAGGAGGACUUAUACAUGCUAUGACUGAUGGGCAUUUCUGCUGCUGCCGUUCUUACCUAAGUUGUGGAACUGCACCACAUCCUUUGUUCGUCGCAUGUUCCAGAUCAUGAAGAGAGGCUUCCAGUACCUGAAGUGU
Long non-coding RNA from Saccostrea echinata, 311 nucleotides. RefSeq lists it as uncharacterized. Lineage: Eukaryota; Metazoa; Mollusca; Bivalvia; Ostreida; Ostreidae. The transcript has 3 exons. The record is from RefSeq and is a predicted model, not a curated record.